ACAGCAGCAGCCACGGUAAUACGUAGGUGGCAAGCGUUGUCCGGAAUUAUUGGGCGUAAAGCGCGCGCAGACGGAUAGGUCAGUCUGUCUUAAAAGUUCGGGGCUUAACCCCGUGAUGGGAUGGAAACUGCCAAUCUAGAGUAUCGGAGAGGAAAGUGGAAUUCCUAGUGUAGCGGUGAAAUGCGUAGAUAUUAGGAAGAACACCAGUGGCGAAGGCGACUUUCUGGACGAAAACUGACGCUGAGGCGCGAAAGCCAGGGGAGCGAACGGGAUUAGAUACCCCCGUAGUCCCUGUCUCUUAUACA
RNAcentral lists this ribosomal RNA (305 nucleotides) under uncultured bacterium. RNAcentral's name for it is "partial 16S ribosomal RNA". It matches the Rfam family "Bacterial small subunit ribosomal RNA", at positions 505 to 809 of the family's 1533-position model. The record is from RNAcentral.